This 1452-nucleotide long non-coding RNA is filed under the name Marmota monax (woodchuck). The record is from RNAcentral. Lineage: Eukaryota; Metazoa; Chordata; Mammalia; Rodentia; Sciuridae.
CAUAAGUUACUCACGUUGGCCUCAAACUUGUGAUCCUUCUGAUUCCUGAAACUUGUGUUUUCUUCUAACGUUUUAUAAUUUUAACUCUUACAUUUAAAUCUUUGAUCGAGUUUGAGUUACAUUUUGUAUAUGGUGUGAGGUAGGUGUAUAUAUGUUAGUUUCUUUCUUUUUUUAAUAUUCAUUUUUUAAUUGUAGUUGGACACAAUAUCUUUAUUUUAUUUUUAUGUGGUGCUGAGAAUCGAACCCAGGGCCUCUCUUGUGCCAGGUGAGUGCUCUACCGCUGAGCCACAAUCCCAGCCCCUAUAUGUUAGUUUCUUAGGGCCACUAUACCAACGUACCGCAAACUGGGUCACUUAAAACAACAGAUAUUUAUUGCCUCAUUGUUUUGUAAGCUAGAAGUCUGAAAUCAAGGUGUCAGUCAGUUUGGUUCCUUCGGAAGGCUGCUAGGGAGACUCUGUCCCAUGUCUCUCUUAGCUUCUGGUAGUUGCUGACAGUCUUUGACAUUCCUUGCCUUGUAGACACAUCAUUGCAGUUUCUUUUUCUAUUGCUAAGUGGCAUUUGUGCAUUUGUAUCCAUUCUUAGAAGGAUAGCAUUCAGUAAUAUCUUAACUAAUUACAUCUGCAAGGACUAUAUUUCAAGUAAAGUCAUAUUCUGAGGUUGUGGGAAGACAUGAAUAUAGGAGUAGGGGCCACAGCAUAGAGUCUAAUUUCAUUCCUUUGCAUAUGGAUAUCCAGUUGUCCCAGCAACAUUUAUAAAAAAUGACUAUAAUUUGGGGCACAUUUUUUAGCUUGGCAAGGCUAAAAGUCUAGGCUUAAUCUUGCUGGCAUGUGAAGGGAGGGGACCACAGUUUUUUUUUUCUUCAGUGUUUGUCUUCAGUAGAAUAGUUCUUAUCUAAAAGUUUGCUGAUUUUCCAGAUGGCCCUUUUCCUAGUUCUUUGAGUAUGAAGAUCAUACUUAUUGUCUUAUCUUUUGUUUCAUUUUUGUCUGCAUCCUUCAACAUUUCUGGGUUUUCACUUUCUUCAGCUGCAAGGCUUUGAUGUAGGAGGCAGGAAGAAAACCUGAGGUAAUCCCAGUUACUUGGGAGGAUGAGGCUGGAGAAUUGCACAUUUGAGGCCAGCCACAGUAACCUAGUGAGACCCUGUCUCAAAAUUAAAAAAAAAAAAAAAAAGACUCGGGAUAUACCUCAAAGCUGAAGUGCCUCUGGGUUCAAUCCUCAGUCAGUAUCAAAAAAAAAGAGGAGGAAGAAGAAAAAGCAGCACAGCCACUACCACCACCAUCAAGGGAACUUACUACCAUGUUGUUCGUUGGUCCCUAAGAUUCCUAGCUCAUCUGUUGCCUUCUCUCCCCCUUCUCAUGUUUGUUGUAUGUAUAAUGUUCAGAGUUUUUAAUUGCAUUUAGUGGGAAGAACUGGAGAAGCAUGUCUACUCUAUCUUUCCAGGACAUUGAAUGUAUA